Long non-coding RNA from Erinaceus europaeus (western European hedgehog), 367 nucleotides. RefSeq lists it as uncharacterized. The transcript is spliced from 2 exons. NCBI's taxonomy places the organism in Eukaryota, Metazoa, Chordata, Mammalia, Eulipotyphla, Erinaceidae. The record is from RefSeq and is a predicted model, not a curated record.
GCUAUCCCUGGGGCUUAAUGAUUGAACAAAAAGACUCCAUUGCUCAACUGCUCAUGAAGUUUCCUUGUGCAGGUGGGGACCAGGAUUGAACCUGGACCCUCAUGCAUGUGGCCAGCUACUCCAUGAGACCACCAUAUUCUUUGGAGCACUGAAAUCAAGAAAUCCAUUAUGGCUGCCAGCAACCAAAUUGGAAUUUCCAUUUCGUCUACUUCUAAUUGCCAAAGUAAAAAGCAACUAUAUUAUUGCAUAAAAUAAAUGUUAGCAGGUACCAGCCCCCUUUCUAUGAGAGAAAGCUUAACUUUAAUACAAAUAUCAUUUGGCUACUACUGUGGUACAAUAUGGCAAUUAAAAGAUGACUUCCAAUGUU